This 468-nucleotide ribosomal RNA is filed under the name uncultured bacterium. RNAcentral describes it as "partial 16S ribosomal RNA". It matches the Rfam family "Bacterial small subunit ribosomal RNA", at positions 28 to 507 of the family's 1533-position model. The record is from RNAcentral.
GACGAACGCUGGCGGCGUGCUUAACACAUGCAAGUCGAACGGAAAGGCCCUGCUUUUGUGGGGUGCUCGAGUGGCGAACGGGUGAGUAACACGUGAGUAACCUGCCCUUGACUUUGGGAUAACUUCAGGAAACUGGGGCUAAUACCGGAUAGGAGCUCCUGCUGCCUGGUGGGGGUUGGAAAUUUUCGGCGGUUGGGGAUGGACUCGCGGCUUAUCAGCUUGUUGGUGGGGUAGUGGCUUACCAAGGCUUUGACGGGUAGCCGGCCUGUGAGGGUGACCGGCAACAUUGGGACUGAGAUACGGCCCAGACUCCUACGGGAGGCAGCAGUGGGGAAUAUUGCACAAUGGGAGGAAGCCUGAUGCAGCAACGCCGCGUGCGGGAUGACGGCCUUCGGGUUGUAAACCGCUUUCGCCUGUGACGAAGCGUGAGUGACGGUAAUGGGUAAAGAAGCACCGGCUAACUACGUG